Molecule: long non-coding RNA, 232 nt
Filed under: Elaeis guineensis (African oil palm)
Lineage: Eukaryota; Viridiplantae; Streptophyta; Magnoliopsida; Arecales; Arecaceae
Description: long non-coding RNA (EGUI_LNC016503)
Source: RNAcentral
GGGUCGGUUUUUACAGUAAAAAACUGAGAUAUGUUGGUAUUGAGAUAUAGUCGGUAUUUUGGCUUUUAUAGUGAAAGUCAAAAUAUAGUCGAUAUGUCAGUUUUUAUAGUAAAAAAUUAGAAUAUAGUCGAUAGAAAUUGACCAUCCAUUUAUCGGUCUAAAAUCACUUUGCAGUUAGUCGAAGCUUUGUGAUUCUGAAAUUCAAUAUUUCAAUUUGAAUACUGUACAUAUG